Molecule: unclassified non-coding RNA, 240 nt
Filed under: uncultured Hymenoscyphus
Lineage: Eukaryota; Fungi; Ascomycota; Leotiomycetes; Helotiales; Helotiaceae
Description: sequence contains ITS2
Rfam family: 5.8S ribosomal RNA (bases 1-52)
Source: RNAcentral
AACGCACAUUGCGCCCCUUGGUAUUCCGAGGGGCAUGCCUGUCCGAGCGUCAUUACAACCCCUCCAGCUUGCUGGGUCUUGGGCCUUCGCCUCCGGGCGGGCCUUAAAAUCAGUGGCGGCCCUGCCGGGCCCUGAGCGCAGUAACUUCUCUCGCUACAGGGUCCCGACAGGUGCUGGCCAGCAACCCCCAUCUUUCUAAUGGUUGACCUCGGAUCAGGUAGGGAUACCCGCUGAACUUAA